UAGGCCGGGGGAGGGGCACGGUCACGUGCAGCUCCGAGGGCGUGACGUCACAAACCCCUCCCCUCCCCGGGCCGCGGCGGCCCGGCCUCGCCCCUCCUUUGCUGGUGCAGGGGAGGGAGCGGAGGUUUCCUGGUCCUCCUCCUCCGGCAGAGCCUCCCCUCCCCUCCCUCCCGGGGAGCGACCGAGACACGGACCGACACCCCCCCACGGGGGACAGAUCCUGCUCCCGGGCCGGGCCCGACACGAGGAGACUCCCCUUCCUCCCCGCCGCCGCCGCCCGCACAGGUCAGUACCGAUUUAGUGGCCGGUGACAGGCUGCCUUUGCCCGUCCGCCGUCUCCCAGACUUCUGCAAUUUUUCUUCAUCUCUGUUUAACUGAAAGUGUGCAUCGUAGCAGAUAUUUUAAGGAAAUCUCUCUCCCACACUUCACAUUUUGGAGCCUGCAGGAGAAAAUGCUGCUCAGUCUCAAUCCGGCCUCUGGAAUUGGUGUUUGGAAUUGGUUGGAGAGCUGUCCCAAUGUCACUGUGCACAGAAUUUUUUCUCUCAGUUUGUGAGGAGCCUGUGCCACAGAAUGAUGAGCUGAAGUUAUCAGGCAAAGAAGAGUCUUCACUUGUGAAACAGUCGGAACACAACACAGAGGUCCUUGUCAGUUCAGGUCAUGACAAGCUGCAGGCUGUACUUGGCGGAGACCCCACCACUACCCUGCACACUACUGUGGAUGUCUACGAGGAGCCAAGCCACAGGCCCCUGCCAUGAACUGGAAGGAGGAGGAGCAGGAGAGAGGUGACACAGCAGCAGGGUCCAUCUAUGCCAGGAGCCAGGACCUGCCUGAGACACCUGCACUGUCUAGCCAGUCCUGCCAGCUGAGCAUGGACUAGCCUGUUGAAGGGGAAGGGACCUCAGGAGCUGUUGCUGUUAUGGGGCCUUGAGGGGUCCCCCCUCCACACUCACAGAUCACUUAACUCUGAUGAGGAGAAAGAAGAGGACUAGGGAGGAUAUACUGAGUGAGGUCCUGCAAGCUGGUGCUGCAUUGGACUGUGAACAAAGGGCCUGGAAGGCUGAUGGCAUGGAGAGGGAAAAAGUGGACAGAAGAAAGCCCUGGAAUGCCAGCAGGGAGAGGGGGAGAUACACCAAGACUUAAUGGGUCUCUUCAGGGAGCAAAUUAAAAUGCUGCAGACUCCAACAGGUCCAGAUAUCCCAGAAUCAUCUUUGCAGACCUUGGAGAACUCCAGGGUAUCUCCCUAUACCCCCGUCCCUGCAACAUACCACAUGGCAUCCCGGGCUGCAUCCCUCUACCCUUACCACUCCACAGUGGGACACAGCAAGGAAAAUCACAGCUUCACACAUGCACUGACCCAUGAGAACUAUGGCUGGUGCACAUGUAGCCACAACAGACUACAUUUGUGCACUCAGGUGGGCAGAAAUAUCAAGCCUAGUGGUUAGAGCAGGAGUUGGUAGCCAGGAACAGGAGCCCAGGGUCAGAGCUGGAGUCAGAGGCCAAAUGCCAGAGCUGGAGACUGAAGUUAGGAAUUGGAGCCAAGGGUCAGAACUGAGUUACCUGGAGUGAGGCAACAGAGGGGCAAGGCUGGGCACAAGGCAGGAGCAGGAGCUUCCGCAGCCAUGGGAGAAUGCUUUGAGCAGCUGCCAAAAUACUGCUGCUGCUGGUCUUAAGGGUUGAUCUGGUGACUCUUCCCACCAAUCAGGCAGAUUUGCCACUGGGCAGCCUACUGCAUGCCAGCUGCAUUCCUUACGUUGCCCGGAGACUGGUUCUGUAGCAGACGAUUCCUGACAACACCAAUGAUAUGAGGUAACCAAAGUUUGUAGUGUAGAUGUGGCCUUAGUCUUUUAAGCUGCUGUAGGUCUGUAGCUGAACAACACCCUUCUUUUCUCAGUGCUAGUCUUUCAUUCUGUUUGGCUGCAGACUGGACAUGAUGGCAAUGUCUCUGGUUUUUUUGUUAUUGUUGUUUUUUUUUUUUAAAGCUGUCUUUAGAAAACAAAGGGCUAUAUACACUGUUAUUUCCACCCCCCCCACACCCCCGUUCCCUCCUCUGCAAGAAAGCUCAGAUUCUGAAAAAUAGCAAAAAUCUAUGAAAGACCUCAAAUUUGCUAUUUCCAUGGCACGGAUGUGUAUUGUCUGUAGUGAUGAUGGUCACAUAAGCCACAUCUCUGAAAUAAAAGUGAUAAUUUCUAUCUCAGAUGUUAUCUUUUCUUGUUAGUGUUCUGCAACAUGAUUAUGGUGAAUGGUGUUUCAAAUAAAAGUUAUGAAAUGCUACUGGCUGACUUGUAAAAGACAAAGGCUUGACUAUUGGCUAGUGCAUAAUUCCUCUUUUGCUAACUAGCUUUUGUGAUAUUUACAUUAUUUUGCGAUACUCUGGUGGAAGCCUGAAGAGGGAAAUGUUAUAGUUCUUUCACAAUUCAUUAGUUUGUAGGUGUCUCUGUUAUGAUGUUUACACAAUGAAUGACUCAUAAGCUAAAUGAAUAUGCCAGCCUAAUAUAGUGCAGCCUAUAGCGAAACCUGAUCCCAUUACAUAAAAGCAUGGCAGUUGUUCAUACUUGUGCUAUUACUUGAUGAAGUAUUUGCACACUGGAAAUGUACGUGCCAUAGGUUACUUAAAUGUGCUGUGUUUUUAUAAGAUUUUUCUGAAAUAUGUAGUGUUUUACAAUAAUAGAUUGGCCUCCUUUUCUCCACCCUUAUAGUAUUAUACCCCUUAUUGUUCGGUUUAAGUUCUACAGCUCUUUUGAGUGCAUAAUUUGGAACUCAGGCCUGGUCUACACUCAAAAUUUACAUCUGCAUAGCUGCGUCUCUCAGAGGAGUAAAAAAUCCACGAUCCUGAGAGACGUAGCUAUGCCGAUGUAAACCCAGGUGUAGACAGUGUUAGGGCCUGGUGUACACUAGGAAAUUAGUUUGGUAUAAUUAUGUUACUCAGGAGUGUGAAAAAUCCACACCCUUGAACUAUGUAGCUUAAACCAAUUUAACUCCUGGUGUAGACAGCGCUAGAUCAAUGGGAGAAUUCUCCCAUUGACCUAACUACCGCCUGUCAGGGAGGUGGAUUACCUACCCUGACGGGCAAACCCCUUCCAUUGGCAUAGGUAGUGUUGUCACUGCAGCUAUGCGGCGUUAGCAUUUUAAGUGUAGACAUACAGAAUGUACGGGCUGAGGGCUUGUCUACGCUACCAAAUUUUGUUGACAAAACUUAUGUUGACACCCAAAAGUCGACAAAACAAAAAUCGCCAAAGGGUGUUCACACUUGCUCCCUCUGUCGACAGAUCAUGUCCUCAUUGGAGACACCAUCAUCGACAGGGUGAGCAAUGCACUGUGGGUAUGUAUCCCACAGAGCAGUGUUGUGGGAAGGAAGAGCUGACCGCUGCGUACCUUGGCAUUCUCUCCGAGUUCUCCCACAGCCGCCUCAGCUGCCGAGAGCAGCGUCAUGACUAGCGCUGUGAGCUCUCCGUGCUGAGGAAGGGCACAGCCGUCUGUCCUCCUCCCCUUGCAGCCGCAGCCUGCCUGCUGCUGUGUUCCUAGCGCAGGGCAGAACAGGAGCGGUCCAGUGAUUUGCUCUUUGUAUGUUCCCCAAAUGGAGCAGCCCAAAGAUACUUCCCGGAGCUUUGAAAGGGGAGGGGCACAUGCCUGCAGGGCAGCAGAGAUCAAAACACUGAGCAGAGCAAUCAGGGCAGGCAUUGUGGGAUACUGGUGGAAGCCAGUUCUGUGGACAAAACAAUCAGCAGAGUCUACACUGGCUCUUUGUCGACAGCAAAGGGAGGGGAAAAGACAAAAGUCUCUCGUGGGGUGAUGAUUUUUUUGUCGCCAAAAUUGGGUGUUUUUCGCAACAAAAGUCCCAUUGUAGUGUGUACGCUCUUGCUGUUUUAUCGCCAAAGGGCAGUUUUUGGCAACAAAACUUGUUAGUGUAGACAAGGCCUGAAGGUAAAGCAGCAGCAGUUUCCUUCCCCCACUCCUUUUAAAGACUAUUUCAUGUGUGUUGAUAAAAUUAAAUAUUAAUUUUUAUUUCUUGUAACCCGUAUCUUUAUAAUAAUGCUGACUGAUGUAAAUACCUUUAUUUGGCAAAUUGGCAGCCCAGACCUAAAGAUACUUUUAAUGUGGAAACACUUGAUACCAUAUCUUACUAGUUACCUUAGUUCUCAUUAAGCUCUGCUUUUCUUGCUUGCUGAUUUAAUUUCUUCUAGUUUUUUUUAAAUAAAAAUCUUGAUCUCAAAGGUGUAAAACAAGUUCAUCUAUUUAGAAUACUUUAUGUAAACAAUUUUGCUUUCGUAUAAUAUGCAGUACAUACAACCAUGUUGCUGCACCGCAAGAAACAGGCACAAAACAAGUUACUGGUCCCAGAAUUUACGUUUCUAAAAUAUUUCUUACACAAGAUACCAUUAUAUCAGAUAUACCUGUUUAGACUGCAAGCUUUUCGCAGCACAGAUGGUGUAUUCCUAUAUGUCUAUAUAUGGCCUAGCACUUUUGGGGCACUUUCUGUAAUAUCAAUAAUUACCAGAAAGCAAUGAUAUUCUUCAGUUUUUAAAAGUGAAUUUACAAAUAUGAAAUGCUGGGAACUCCUGUUCCAGGCUACUAUAUGAAUCUCAGACACCCCUCUGAUGGCUGCGGUAUUAGUCUAACAGACAGAUUUUAAAAGGGUUCUUAUUAACGAGUUAGGGCAACCCAUCAGCUAGAAAAAAUGAAUUGCUACAACAUGUUAGGCACAAAGCUGGUGGUCAUUAUCACCUGGUGGAUAUAGAUGCAGGAAGUGGUGCAAUUUUUAUGUCACAUAAUGUUUAAACGUUAUAGGGCAACCAAUCUGAAAAAAAUCAUAAAAUCACAAAAAAGACUAUAACUCAAAGAUACAUAGUCUAAUUUUCACCAAAAUUGGCAGAAAGCUCCUCAAUACAAUUGAUAAUGCAACUAUGUACUCAGAAUAGGCAUGUUUGGGAAAUACUUAGCCGCAGGUGAUAUUUUAUGCCGUCUCCUAUACACAAAAUCUGUAGUCACGUGACAGUCUGAGCUUGUUUGUCCAUGUUCCAAUGUGGUUAUAUGAAUUAUGCUAGACAGAGUUGUGUACAUGUAGCAGAAGCCAGACUUCUAGAGGAGAAACUGUGUAAUAUAACAUGCCCUAAUUGAUAGUCAGGGAGCAGUAUACCAUACUGCCAGACCCUUCAGUGACGUACGACAUGACAGCCAUUGAGUAAUUUCUCAACAAGGACUGUGUGAAGCAUCAGCAUCUUAUCACAAAAGAUAAGGUUCUGAUCAAGCAUUUCCUGACUGCACAUUUUAAGGCAGCUGUAACAGCUAUGACAAAACAAAUGUGUAGAGUGCAUUCUUGAGCACAGAUCUCCACAAAGAAGCUACCAUAAAGGUUGCAGAUGAAACUGCUGUUGAAGUUAUUAAAAAAAUUUGUGACUGAAAGAAUGGCAAAUACUUUUAGCAUUGAAUCUGGAUCAAGCCCAGACAACAGCCAGCCACUUGCGAACAUUACAACAUCUACUGGGGCCCCACCUGAAAUUGCAGAAAGUUUGUGCAUAAGAGAGAAUGGCACACAAGAAAUGAAGCAGUUUGUAACCAGUCUGCUCCAAAAGGGUGAGGUAGACCUCUUUGAUCCCAUAAAAAUGUAUCAUGUCAAAUCAUUUGCUAAUCUCAAUAAGUCAAUCAAACAAAAGAAGCAGACAGCACAAGCAAUAACUGUUGAUUGCCAGAUAUUGAGCAAGUGGACUGUUAUUGCCCAGUCCAGAGAUGUCGAUAUCCAGGGUUUGUUGAAGUAUGAGCUCCCAUCUGUCCAGUUUUCCCUCUUCAUCUUGGUUGGAUCUCUAAGAAAGACCCAAAA
Molecule: RNA transcript, 5815 nt
Organism: Dermochelys coriacea (leatherback sea turtle)
Lineage: Eukaryota; Metazoa; Chordata; Testudines; Dermochelyidae
Gene name: translation initiation factor IF-2-like
Exons: 5
Source: RefSeq, a predicted model, not a curated record